RNAcentral lists this unclassified non-coding RNA (453 nucleotides) under Tecticornia indica subsp. bidens. Its description in RNAcentral is "partial external transcribed spacer". Lineage: Eukaryota; Viridiplantae; Streptophyta; Magnoliopsida; Caryophyllales; Amaranthaceae. The record is from RNAcentral.
UGUGGGGUGCAUGUAGGCAUGAUCCUAGUGAUGCAAUACGUGAUAGCGUGUGAGUGGUAUUUGGUUUGUGUGGUUGGCGGGCUCUCUGCUUGUGCAUUGAACCGUUCACUAGCAUACCUCUUCAUUGUUUGCUCCAAGUGCAUCACGUGCCUUGGGUGACGUGUGGUCCCUAUGUUGUAUUCCUACUGACGGUAUUGAUUCAUCCCCAUAAAGGAGUGAUUUCCGCUCUACAUCCAUAGAAGGAGGUCGAGCGGACAUAGAAACUUGGUUCGUUAUCCACCCGUCGAGCGAAAACAAGCACGAUAGGACAGGAUUACGAUCCCAAGUUGGGCCCUUGGAUGCAGAACGUUGUGUGGGUGUUGAUGUUAAAUCGUUGCACACCCAAAGCGUUGUACGCUAACGAUGGAUGACAUUCGAGUGCGAGAUGACCCUUUCUUGAUUGAAAAGGGCUCA